UUGGAAGUAAAAGUCGUAACAAGGUCUCCGUAGGUGAACCAGCGGAGGGAUCAUUACUGA
RNAcentral lists this ribosomal RNA (60 nucleotides) under Colletotrichum truncatum. RNAcentral's name for it is "partial 18S ribosomal RNA". It matches the Rfam family "Eukaryotic small subunit ribosomal RNA", at positions 1776 to 1831 of the family's 1831-position model. The record is from RNAcentral. Lineage: Eukaryota; Fungi; Ascomycota; Sordariomycetes; Glomerellales; Glomerellaceae.